AUACGAAAGGUGCAAGCGUUGUUCGGAUUUACUGGGCGUUAAGAGAGUGUAGGUUGUUUAUUAAGUCGGAUGUGAAAUCCCGGGGCUCAACCCCGGAACUGCAUUCGAUACUGAUAGGCUAGAGUUCGGGAGGGGUAAGCGGAAUUCCGUGUGUAGCAGUGAAAUGCGUAGAUAUACGGAGGAACACCUGAGGCGAAGGCGGCUUACUGGACCGAUACUGACACUGAGACUCGAAAGCGUGGGUAGCAAACAGGAUUAGAAACCCUAGUAGUCC
This 274-nucleotide ribosomal RNA is filed under the name uncultured bacterium. Its description in RNAcentral is "partial 16S ribosomal RNA". It matches the Rfam family "Bacterial small subunit ribosomal RNA", at positions 523 to 796 of the family's 1533-position model. The record is from RNAcentral.